CUCAAUUUUCAGCCUUCCGUCUAAAACAAAUUUAUAACCACAGAUCCUUCCAUUCCUUGAAUAGGCGGGUCCUGUGGUUUGUGAUUUAAACUGUAAACAUCUCUGAUGUGGUUGUGAUGUACGCAGAAUCAGGCUAGGAUUCUUACAGUUUGAUUUGGCAGAUAUACUUGAAACUGAUCACAUUAAAGGAGGUUGGCUGUCGAGGGGCUAUAAAUUCAUAUAUCCCAAGUUAAUCAACAUUUAUUCUGUUCUGUAAUUAAAGAUGAGAAAUACAAUGUUUUUAUUGCUGUUUUCCAGGUGACGCUGUUAUGCCUUCAAGACCCAGCUAUAACAGGCUGAGGCAACUAAAAAGUUACGGGAGAAAAUAAAGCAUGAGGAGAAAGAUUGCAAGAGGACCAUAAAAUGAACACACAUGUAUUUGCUGACAUGACCAAGAAAUGCUGAGUAGCACCCUUUGAAGUCAGUGAGAGCUAGUGAGUGCUUCAGCAAAAAAGGAACUGCGAAGCAAGUGCCUGUUCCCACACUGAAACCCUGUCCUCAAGCUGUGCAGCCAGACUCAGCCUUUACUCGUGCCACGGUCCCUCUGUCUUUGGUUCUGGACCUGCUUGUUGGCCCUGUCCAGAAUUUCAACCAUAAGUUCAUCAAGAAAACGCUUCUUCUUGGAACCGUCCAUGAAGGCACGUUGGACCAGGCUUCAGCUGCAGCGUGGGUGAGAUGUUCAGCACUUCCACAUAUUGGAAGACAUAAUAGUUCUUGUGGUGCCUGAUUGGCAAAGGGAGACGCUAUUCCAAGCUGCCAGUGGGAAACCUGCAGUGUAUGCAACCAAAGUAUUCAAAAAUAUAGUGACUGAACAGCACAUCUGUGAGUGGAGUGAGCUGGUCAGCUACCAAGGUGGCACUGGAAAAUAUGCCCUUCCCCAAAAUGUGACUACCUAUCUGGAGUUCCUGCUUCAGGGAAAGUUUGCAGCUAUCAGCACCCGGGAUUGGGACAGAAAUCUGAGGGAAUCAACAGGAUGAUGCAUUAGCUUCCAUGUGACUUAGCUGCUUAUGGCUUCAUGCAAACACACACAACUUCAAAGCCUUCACCCUUCUACUCCCUCACUCUCACCACCUCAGAACAUUUCUGGACAAAAUUUCAAACCUCAAUUGAAUUUGGGACCAAUGAUUUUGUCACCCGUGGACUAUAUGGACUACCGUUAAUUAAAAUGGACUAGAUAUGUGAAUGGAAUAGAUUUCCACCUUCCUCCCACAAUCCAAAGUCACUGUUUCCAGGUGGUUUGUUAUACCGCUGAGUGGUUACAGAGCGGCAUACUUACAGGCAUGGCAAUUAGUCCUGGGGAAAUUCUGCACCACUGCACCACGCAGAAUUUUGCAGAAAAUAGGGUUGUGCAUGCAGAAUUUCCUUUCCCCCCUACAGAAAUGGGCUGCAGAGCUGCUGCCCACCACUAGGCACCACCUGACCCAGCAGAGUUCAGCUUGCAAAUAGAAGACAAUGCCUGGGGGAGGGCAAGGGAGCUGGAGGGUUCCCAGCAGCUGCAGUUCCCAGCAUGCCCUGAAAGAAGGAGGUGGUGGUGUGCAGGAAACUCUGUUCAAGCCUGGGACCCAGCAUCAGGAUGUUUCUCUCUGGAUCCCUGGGCUCUAGGAGGGUAGGGGGUAUGAAUGUCUGGGCCGGGGGGAGGGACGUGAGUGUCUGGACCGGAGGGGACCCUAUGGGGAGUAGGGAGUAUGAGUAUCUGGGCUAGAGGGUGGCAGCGGCUGGGCUCUGGGGGGAAGGGGUGUGAGUGGAUGGGCUUGUGGGGCAGGUCCACAUCUGGGCUCUGCAGGCAAGGGGCAGAGAAACAGGAAUGGGUUGUUGUAGGGGUUUCUUUAACUCUAGUUCUGGGGGAAUUUUUCUGUGUGUCUGUAUUGUUACGGACAUUCAUGCUGACAGGUAUUUUGA
Non-coding RNA from Caretta caretta (loggerhead turtle), 1938 nucleotides. Lineage: Eukaryota; Metazoa; Chordata; Testudines; Cheloniidae. The record is from RefSeq and is a predicted model, not a curated record.